UACGGAGAGGGCAAGCGUUGUUCGGAAUCACUGGGCAUAAAGGGCACGUAGGCGGAUCAGAAAGUCGGUUGUGAAAUCCCGGGGCUCAACCCCGGAACUGCUUCCGAAACUCCUGAUCUAGAGGGUGAGAGGGGAGAGUGGAACUUCUGGUGGAGCGGUGAAAUGCGUAGAGAUCAGAAGGAACACCGGUGGCGAAAGCGGCCCCCUGGACAAAGACUGACGCUCAGGUGCGAAAGCGUGGGGAGCAAACAGG
This 253-nucleotide ribosomal RNA is filed under the name uncultured bacterium. RNAcentral describes it as "partial 16S ribosomal RNA". It matches the Rfam family "Bacterial small subunit ribosomal RNA", at positions 524 to 776 of the family's 1533-position model. The record is from RNAcentral.